UACGUAGGGGGCAAGCGUUGUCCGGAAUCAUUGGGCGUAAAGCGCGUGUAGGCGGCUCGAUAAGUCCGCUCUGAAAGUCCAGGGCUCAACCCUGGAAGGCGGGUGGAUACUGUCGAGCUCGAGUCCGGAAGAGGCGAGUGGAAUUCCCGGUGUAGCGGUGAAAUGCGCAGAUAUCGGGAGGAACACCAAUGGCGAAGGCAGCUCGCUGGGACGUGACUGACGCUGAGACGCGAAAGCGUGGGGAGCGAACAGG
This 253-nucleotide ribosomal RNA is filed under the name uncultured bacterium. Its description in RNAcentral is "partial 16S ribosomal RNA". It matches the Rfam family "Bacterial small subunit ribosomal RNA", at positions 524 to 776 of the family's 1533-position model. The record is from RNAcentral.